Molecule: unclassified non-coding RNA, 21 nt
Filed under: Chlamydomonas reinhardtii
Lineage: Eukaryota; Viridiplantae; Chlorophyta; Chlorophyceae; Chlamydomonadales; Chlamydomonadaceae
Description: small RNA Cre_3657
Source: RNAcentral
UGUUCAUUUGGGCUCCCAGCC